CAGUCGCCGCGGGAAUACGUAUGUCACAAGCGUUAUCCGGAUUUAUAGGGCGUAAAGCGCGUCUAGGUGGUUAUGUAAGUCUGAUGUGAAAAUGCAGGGCUCAACUCUGUAUUGCGUUGGAAACUGUGUAACUAGAGUACUGGAGAGGUAAGCGGAACUACAAGUGUAGAGGUGAAAUUCGUAGAUAUUUGUAGGAAUGCCGAUGGGGAAGCCAGCUUACUGGACAGAUACUGACGCUAAAGCGCGAAAGCGUGGGUAGCAAACAGGAUUAGAGACCCCUGUAGUCCCUGUCUCUUAUACA
Molecule: ribosomal RNA, 301 nt
Filed under: uncultured bacterium
Lineage: Bacteria
Description: partial 16S ribosomal RNA
Rfam family: Bacterial small subunit ribosomal RNA
Source: RNAcentral